RNAcentral lists this long non-coding RNA (3506 nucleotides) under Homo sapiens (human). Its description in RNAcentral is "HSALNT0370245". Lineage: Eukaryota; Metazoa; Chordata; Mammalia; Primates; Hominidae. The record is from RNAcentral.
CUCCUGGGCUCAAGUGAUCCUCCUGUCUCAGCCUCCCAAAGUGCUGGGAUUACAGGCGUGAGUCACCACGUGCAGCCUAAUUGAGUUAUUUAUUGGUUUUGAGAGCAACGCCCAAAGGCCCAAGAAAUGAUAACUCAUUCAGUGAAGGCUUCAACAUGAAAUGCCAACUUGAAAAAACAGAAAACAAGUUGCUUAAUUUCUCCUCCACAACUUGAAAAAGAGCAGUGCAAGAUGUUGACUUAGAGGAAAAUUCAUCAUGCAAGAUUUAGAGGAAAAUUCAGCAAACACUUAUUGAGCACUUACUAUUUAGGCCAGGCCUGUGUUAGAUCCUUCCUAUAUAGUAUCUCAUUUAAUCCUUAAAGCCACAGAGAAAUUAAAACUAUAGAGAUUAUUAUACUAUAACAAGGUUAACCCUCUAGGCAACAGCUUGGGAUUUUCCAUGUAUGCCUGUUUACUGCUAGAGAAUUUAAUUUGGAGACAAAAUGAUUUUAAUGCCCUCGCACCUGUAGGAAUACUUUCCUUUCUCUUCCUUCUGUUGGAAUGUGAAGAGGCCCAAGAAAAUAUUACUCUUCCUUGCCAAGUUCUGAACGAGUUGAGAAAUAGGACAAAAGAGUAAGGCAAAUGGAAGAGCAAGAUGUCACCUUUGUUGCUGAUGAAGCUGAUUUUUGGAGAUUGUGCCUUUUUUUUCUGUGGGUAAGCAGAUUUCCUACUACCGAACCCCAGAGUUAGAAAUACCCAGCCACCAGCAGUGUGGGGCCACCCUGGGCCUCUGCACACACAGGACUAUGCCCGGAAGACCCUCAGUGUGUGUGUGUGUGUGUGUGGUGGUAGGGCAUGGGGAGGAGAAUGUGUAUUUCCUGCAGGCAGUCAGCUCCCAAGGAGAAAGGGAGUAAAGGGGCUGGGCUAUCCUGGUGCAAUGCCUACUCUCAGCAGAGUUGGCUAGCACCGGCUUGUGCAUAUCUCAGCUCCAGGUUCAGUGACCUUCUCAGCUACCUUGUCGGUAGCUUGGUACCGACAUUUCAGCCCUGCUGAAAUGGGUAUCUUUACACUACAGAAGUUAUCAAAUGCUGCAAAUUGAAACUUUUGCCCCAGAGAACCAAUUGUUGAACAUUUACCUGCACACCACCGGCUGCUCCCAAAAUUUCCAACCAGAGAUCUUUCUUCUUCCCCAGCAAAAAAGUGAAUGAGAGGGGUGGAAAAAGGGUGGAGCCGGAGCUGAGAAGAAGAGUUAGCAUCACCACGGUCUUCCUCCAGGCCAUUCUCAAGCACAACCUGGGUGAGGCUCUGUCAUUGCUUAAUGGAUCAGCUGUAUAGUAACAGCAGAAGAUAAAACAUGGCUUCCAGAUCAGCUAAAGUAUCAACAAGAAUGAAAAUGACACUUCAAAGGAUUUAAGUGAAGAGAGUGUCGUGAAGAUUAUUUGUAGAGAUGUGGGAUCAGAUGAGAAACACCCUGGGACCAGAAACAGCAGAAGCCCUAAUGCCUGCCAAAGGGCAAGACCAGGGUGAGCUCCUACCCACAGUAUCUGGCGAGAGCUGGAGCCCUGAGACAGGGAUGGGGCCUACUGGCACUUGGAAAGUGUACUGGGGUCUUAGUGAACUGAUGUCAUUUCCUCUUCUCUUCCCCAGGAUUUGAGAUUUCUAAAAACAACAACAACAACAACAACAACAACAACAAAACCCUAUACAAAUCUAAAUUAGUUAAAAAAAAAAAAACUAAAGUGGUUGGAUGGGAGCUAUGGCUUAGGAAGAGAAACACAGCCCAUCAAAGAGGGACUAGGGAUUUAAAUAACCCUCUCUUCUCUCUUCCUGUCCAUGCCUUCUGUUGGGUGAAACUAGCAGCCAGAAGGCAAGGGGGCCUGGGUGGAGAUGUCCAGUGGCAUUAGCCUCCCAGGUACAGAGAGAUGCAGAGAAAGAUGCAAAAUAGACCUGGAGUAGCUGAGAAUCAUCUUGUCAUUUGUCACCUAUUAGCCAGUUGCUUUGUCCAAGGCCUUGAGCCUCAGUUUUCUAUAGAGUGGGCAUCAAACUUGUCUACCUCUUGUCUGCCUCACAGGGCCAUGGGGAACAGCCAGUGAAAGUGUUAAAAUCAUUCGCUUGCCAUUUGACCCUCUUCUUCAUCUGCAUUAUCUCACUUAAUUCCUCAACAGCCGGGUAGGGUAUAAGGCAGAGAGGCCAGGGGACAAGGACAGGCAGGCACUUUGGAAUCAGAAGAAGAGGUCAUCAACUGUGGCUCAGCCAAGCUUUUUAACUGUGAGAUCAUGGGAAACUGAAGCUCUCUGAACCUCAGCUAUUGUCUUACUUUGAGCUCCCCCAAAAUCACAUCCUGAGACAAAUAUUUGAGUGCAAAUAGUUCAUUUGGGAGCUGAUCCCAGGAUGCACCAGGAGGGACUGGGCAGGGACUCAGAAAAGGGAAGAAACCCAAUUAUUGGUGUAUUCACAAGUGGGCAACUCGGUCUCAGUGCCACAACUGUGAUGAAGACUGUGCAGGACACAUCCUGGGGUUGGUGGAAUGCAGGGUGCGGGUGCUGGGGUGUUUAUUCACCACCUUCCAUCCCUCACUGGCUGAGGGUUGUUCUUGGAAGUUUUAACUCCCUGGCCAUUUCACACUGCCUGCUGUGGCCAGAGGAGACUCAAGCAGCCAGAGAGUGCCAUGGGGUGGAGACACACAGGAAGCCACAUAGAUGCCCUCCAGCAUGGGCCAGGAGGGAAUGUCUGGGGGACCGACAGCAUCCGUUUUGUUUUUCUAAUUUGUAUGCUAGAGAUGAUGUCUAUGUCACAGGACAGUGACAGAGAUGAAAUGAUUAAUGAUUAAAUGGCUAAAUGUCUUCCAAGUGCCUGGCUCAUAGUAGGUAUCCAAAGAAAAGGAGGCAUUCAUAGUAAAGAUGGGUAAAUAUUCAUGUGUUACAGAUGGAAGCAAAUGGGACUCAAAGAAGUUAAGACAUUUGCCCUAAAUCACACAGACAGUUCUUAAAUGGCCAAGUCAGAUCUGGCCCCAGUUUGUUCCCCUUCCACUCUGCCGUGGCUACCUCCUGUUAAUGGACUAUACAUUUAGAGUGCUUUUGCCUCAUAAAGUGUGUGAAGCUCCAUAAAUAUAAAAUGUUUGUAGUCCCAGCCUUGCUAGCUCAAAUCCAAGUUAAAUUGACUCUUGGGUAGUUCUUCUCUCAGCCCCAAUUCUCAUAAGCUCAAAUAUAUAUUUUCUUAGUCCCCUGGGAUCCUCCAUUCUGUGCCCCAACAAUCCCUAACCCUUCAUUAGUAAUGCCUAGAUGUCUCCACAUAUUUCAAGGGGUGCCAGAAAGUCUCCAGACAAAAUAAAAGAUGCCAUAAAACACCAAGUGCAUAAAACUCUAGACACCUUGUUCUCCAUGUCAUGUUUCCUUUUAAAAACAAAUAUUUUGAAAUGCCCUCUUUACUAUCCUGCUGAUACACACAUAAAAACUAAUAAAAUGCACAAACUCUUUUCUUAAAAAUUGUGGGAAGAUAUACAUAAUAAAAAAUUUACCAUUUUAACC